GACUUUUUAUUAAUUUUUAUAUAUUAUAAAAUUAGUUAUAUUAUGAUAAUUUUUAGUAUAUUUCUUCAGAAAUAAUGUUCUUUAUUAACUGAGAAGGAAUAAUAAAAAAUUUAUUAGUAUUAUUUUUGAGUACCUUUUGUAUCAGGGUAAAUUUAAUUAUUUAAUUAUUUUAUUUUCCCGAACUUAAGAGAUCUAUAAAUUUAUAUAACCAUUUGUUGAAAAAAAUUUUAUAAUAUUUUUAUUGUAAUUAAAUGUUUACGUUCUUGAUUUAUCUGGUUGUUAAGGAUUUAAUUUAAUUAUAUAUUUAUUUUUUAGUUAUGUUACUUUAACAGUUAUUAAAUAUAAUUUUAUUAGGGAUAAUCUUAAUAAGUUUAUUAUAAUAUUUAUUUGUAAGGUGUUUAUUUUCUUUAAAAUUUUGAAUUGAGUUUUUAUUAAAUUAAUAUUUAUAUAUAUUAUUUUAUUAUAUUUAUUUUUAUACUUAAUUUUUUUAUGUAAUUUUAUUAUUUAAUUAAUAAUGAUUUAAUUAAUAUAGUGUUUCAAUUAGAUUAUAAUGAACUCGACAACUAUUAUUUCCAACUGUUUAUCAAAAACAUUUCUUUCUGAGUUAAAUAAAAGGUAUUUUCUGCCCUAUGAAAAAUUAAUUUAAAUGGCUGCAGUAUUUUGACUGUACAAAGGUAGCAUAAUAAUUAGUUUCUUAAUUAGAAGCUGGUAUGAAUGGAUAAAUGAGAUUUAAUUUUUAUUUAGUUUAUUUACUAAAAUUUAAAUUUUAAGUUAAAAUGCUUAAAUGAUUUCUUGGGACGAGAAGACCCUAAAGAGUUUUAUUUAUAAUAUUACUAUUAUCUUUAAAAUUAAAUAGUUAAUAAUAAUUUAUGUUAUUUUUUGCUGGGGCGGCUAUUAAAUUUUAACUUUAAUUUUAUAAUUCAUUAAUUUAUGUUUAUUAAGAUCUUUUGUUAAGGAUUAUAAGUUAAAAUUACCUUAGGGAUAACAGCGUAAUUUUAAUGGAGAGUUCAUAUCUAUAUUAAAUUUUGCGACCUCGAUGUUGAAUUAAGAAAAAUUUAAGAAGCAGAGUUCUUAAUUUUAAGUCUGUUCGACUUUUAGAUUCUUACAUGAUUUGAGUUCAGACCGGUGUGAGCCAGGUUGGUUUCUAUCUUAGGUAUAAUAGAUUAUUUUAGUACGAAAGGACCAAUUGAUCAUACAUUAAUUGUAUUUAUAAUUUGAAU
This 1220-nucleotide ribosomal RNA is filed under the name Drabescus ineffectus. Its description in RNAcentral is "16S ribosomal RNA". The stretch from base 981 to 1139 matches the Rfam family "Archaeal large subunit ribosomal RNA", at positions 2544 to 2703 of the family's 2987-position model. Lineage: Eukaryota; Metazoa; Arthropoda; Insecta; Hemiptera; Cicadellidae. The record is from RNAcentral.